RNAcentral lists this unclassified non-coding RNA (200 nucleotides) under Helvella sp. RNAcentral's name for it is "partial internal transcribed spacer 2". The record is from RNAcentral. Lineage: Eukaryota; Fungi; Ascomycota; Pezizomycetes; Pezizales; Helvellaceae.
UUAAGUUCAGCGGGUAUCCCUACCUGAUUCGAGGAGUUCCAAUGUCAUGUAAUCCCAGCCUCCCAGGCCCCCGCACGUGGCAAGGGUCUGGCAGCCUUGCGGUGCCCGAGGGGAUACCAAGGUACCGCGCUCGGCGACGCGACAGGCGUCUGGGCCAGGGCUGGCAGCCUCUCCGCGCUCGAGGCGAUAAGCAAAGAAUA